UUUGGUUACAACAUAUAUGAGAAGGAAGUUUUUUGAAAAUUUUUUGGUUUGUACUUCCUUCUAGCUUGAUGCUUGACUCAGUCUGAAAGUACCUGUUGGGGAGUGAUGAGAACUGUGUAAUAAUUAAAAGUCUGAAAUUGUCCAAGGAGCUGGAUCAGAGAUGCCACAGAGCUGAAGAAUGUGGACAUUAUGGCAGACAACACUGAUGUUAAUGUGACAGAAAACAACAGACAGAGCAAAGACUAUCCUCAAAACUUCAAUGCUGAGAACAGAUCAGAUGACACUGAGGUACUUCAUUCUCCAAAAGCUGAAUGUGUCAUUUCUGAAAAUGCGGUACCAACAACAGAAGACAGUACCUUAUAUGACAAUGAAGUAUUUCAUCCUCCAGGAUCUGAAUGCGUCACAUCGGUGCCAGUAACAGAUGCUAGUAUAUCAGAUGACUCAAGUUUUAAAUGUUGGUGUCCUGAGAUUUUCAGUCCAAACCAGAGACUGAUGACAUGCGGGGCAAGAUGGAGUGAGAGAACAGAUGAUGACGUGUUACCUGAAAGAAAGACCUCCAGAAGCUCUAUCAAUUCAACUGACUCAGGAUAUGCUUCAAGAAAAUGCACUGGCAUUUUCCCCAUCCCCGAAAUUGAUUAAUAGAAUAAACUAAAUAAUGGUGUUACUUCA
Long non-coding RNA from Cyprinus carpio (common carp), 669 nucleotides. The record is from Ensembl. Lineage: Eukaryota; Metazoa; Chordata; Actinopteri; Cypriniformes; Cyprinidae.